This is a non-coding RNA of Arachis ipaensis, 261 nucleotides long. The record is from RefSeq and is a predicted model, not a curated record. NCBI's taxonomy places the organism in Eukaryota, Viridiplantae, Streptophyta, Magnoliopsida, Fabales, Fabaceae.
UUCCUGGUUUCUGUCCUUGAUUUAAUUUUCAGAUUAUCAGGUUUUGUUCAGUUUAUUGCUUGUUUAUUGAUUUAAACUUCAAUUUUUUGCUGGUUUCUGUCCUUGAUUUAAUUUUCAGAUUAUCAGGUUUUGUUAAGUUUAUUGCUUGUUUAUUGCUGGUUAUUGAUUUAAACUUCAGUUGCUGGUUUCUGUCCUUGAUUUAAUUUUCAGAUUAUCAGGUUUUGUUCAGUUUAUUGCUUGUUUAUUGCUGGUUAUUGCUUG